Molecule: ribosomal RNA, 434 nt
Filed under: uncultured bacterium
Lineage: Bacteria
Description: bacterial SSU rRNA
Rfam family: Bacterial small subunit ribosomal RNA
Source: RNAcentral
UACGGGAGGCAGCAGUGGGGAAUCUUGGACAAUGGGCGCAAGCCUGAUCCAGCCAUGCCGCGUGAGUGAUGAAGGCCUUAGGGUCGUAAAGCUCUUUCGCCAGAGAUGAUAAUGACAGUAUCUGGUAAAGAAACCCCGGCUAANUCCGUGCCAGCAGCCGCGGUAAUACGGAGGGGGUUAGCGUUGUUCGGAAUUACUGGGCGUAAAGCGCACGUAGGCGGAUCAGAAAGUAAGGGGUGAAAUCCCAGGGCUCAACCCUGGAACUGCCUCUUAAACUCCUGGUCUUGAGUUCGAGAGAGGUGAGUGGAAUUCCGAGUGUAGAGGUGAAAUUCGUAGAUAUUCGGAGGAACACCAGUGGCGAAGGCGGCUCACUGGCUCGAUACUGACGCUAAGGUGGAAAGUGUGNGGAGCAAACAGGAUUAGAUACCUUUCAG